UGGGAGCUUGCUCCCUGAUGUUAGCGGCGGACGGGUGAGUAACACGUGGGUAACCUGCCUGUAAGACUGGGAUAACUCCGGGAAACCGGGGCUAAUACCGGAUGGUUGUUUGAACCGCAUGGUUCAAACAUAAAAGGUGGCUUCGGCUACCACUUACAGAUGGACCCGCGGCGCAUUAGCUAGUUGGUGAGGUAACGGCUCACCAAGGCAACGAUGCGUAGCCGACCUGAGAGGGUGAUCGGCCACACUGGGACUGAGACACGGCCCAGACUCCUACGGGAGGCAGCAGUAGGGAAUCUUCCGCAAUGGACGAAAGUCUGACGGAGCAACGCCGCGUGAGUGAUGAAGGUUUUCGGAUCGUAAAGCUCUGUUGUUAGGGAAGAACAAGUACCGUUCGAAUAGGGCGGUACCUUGACGGUACCUAACCAGAAAGCCACGGCUAACUACGUGCCAGCAGCCGCGGUAAUACGUAGGUGGCAAGCGUUGUCCGGAAUUAUUGGGCGUAAAGGGCUCGCAGGCGGUUUCUUAAGUCUGAUGUGAAAGCCCCCGGCUCAACCGGGGAGGGUCAUUGGAAACUGGGGAACUUGAGUGCAGAAGAGGAGAGUGGAAUUCCACGUGUAGCGGUGAAAUGCGUAGAGAUGUGGAGGAACACCAGUGGCGAAGGCGACUCUCUGGUCUGUAACUGACGCU
Molecule: ribosomal RNA, 690 nt
Filed under: Bacillus subtilis
Lineage: Bacteria; Bacillati; Bacillota; Bacilli; Caryophanales; Bacillaceae
Description: bacterial SSU rRNA
Rfam family: Bacterial small subunit ribosomal RNA
Source: RNAcentral